Pelobates cultripes (western spadefoot toad) is the source of this 617-nucleotide non-coding RNA. The record is from the annotation of a GenBank genome assembly. Lineage: Eukaryota; Metazoa; Chordata; Amphibia; Anura; Pelobatidae.
CUUUACUUUUAUUAUAGACAUAGGGUAACACUAUAUAAUAUUUAUAAUACAUUUUUUCAAUUGUUUUAAUAUUCAUUUAUUCAAUAUUAAUAACAGCAACACAGAUUAGCCUAUCAUGAUUUGUAAUUUAUUAUCAUAAUUUAUACCAUACAAGAAAUAUUUACAACAGUCUGUUAACACUUUAGUACAAUAAAAAUCAAUGAUAUGUCUCUAAUUGGAGUUUGAAAAUACACCAAAUUCAAACUUUUCUGCUUAACAUUUUAAGAUCGAGAUUAAUUGUUUUCAAAAUAUGUUUUGAAAGCAUCAAAAUUCAUUUUUAAGGGAACAUUUUAUUAUACAUAUUGUGUAUGUAUCAAAUGUCUUAACAUUAGCAUUAGUGAUGUCCCCAAAGGUUCGCCGAACGGUUCGCCACGGACUCAUCAUUGAGUAAACUUUGACCCUGUACCCAGGAGGUGGGAGGGUCUGGGAGGGAGGGUCUGCUGCUGAUUGGCUGGAAUGCGUCUGCUGACUGUGAGGUACAGGGUCAAAGUUUACCCAAUGAUGAGUCCGCGGCGAACCGUUCGGCGAACCGUUCGGGACAUAACUAAUUAGCAUAAAUUUAAGUUUUAGUUUUUUUU